RNAcentral lists this ribosomal RNA (301 nucleotides) under uncultured bacterium. RNAcentral describes it as "partial 16S ribosomal RNA". It matches the Rfam family "Bacterial small subunit ribosomal RNA", at positions 509 to 807 of the family's 1533-position model. The record is from RNAcentral.
CAGCAGCCGCGGUAAAACGAAGGGGGCUAGCGUUGUUCGGAAUUACUGGGCGUAAAGCGCACGUAGGCGGAUAUUUAAGUCAGGGGUGGAAUCCCAGAGCUCAACUCUGGAACUGCCUUUGAUACUGGGUAUCUUGAGUAUGGAAGAGGUGAGUGGAAUUCCGAGUGUAGAGGUGAAAUUCGUAGAUAUUCGGAGGAACACCAGUGGCGAAGGCGGCUCACUGGUCCAUUACUGACGCUGAGGUGCGAAAGCGUGGGGAGCAAACAGGAUUAGAUACCCCUGUAGUCCCUGUCUCUUAUAC